GCCAUUCCGCGUGCAGGAUGAAGGCCUUCGGGUUGUAAACUGCUUUUGUACGGAACGAAACGGUGAGCUCUAAUACAGUUUGCUAAUGACGGUACCGUAAGAAUAAGCACCGGCUAACUACGUGCCAGCAGCCGCGGUAAUACGUAGGGUGCAAGCGUUAAUCGGAAUUACUGGGCGUAAAGCGUGCGCAGGCGGUGAUGUAAGACAGUUGUGAAAUCCCCGGGCUCAACCUGGGAACUGCAUCUGUGACUGCAUCGCUAGAGUACGGCAGAGGGGGAUGGAAUUCCGCGUGUAGCAGUGAAAUGCGUAGAUAUGCGGAGGAACACCGAUGGCGAAGGCAAUCCCCUGGGCCUGUACUGACGCUCAUGCACGAAAGCGUGGGGAGCAAACAGGAUUAGAUACCCUGGUAGUCCACGCCCUAAACGAUGUCAACUGGUUGUUGGGUCUUCACUGACUCAGUAACGAAGCUAACGC
RNAcentral lists this ribosomal RNA (474 nucleotides) under Variovorax sp. RNAcentral's name for it is "bacterial SSU rRNA". It matches the Rfam family "Bacterial small subunit ribosomal RNA", at positions 391 to 858 of the family's 1533-position model. Lineage: Bacteria; Pseudomonadati; Pseudomonadota; Betaproteobacteria; Burkholderiales; Comamonadaceae. The record is from RNAcentral.